Molecule: ribosomal RNA, 443 nt
Filed under: uncultured bacterium
Lineage: Bacteria
Description: partial 16S ribosomal RNA
Rfam family: Bacterial small subunit ribosomal RNA
Source: RNAcentral
CCUACGGGAGGCAGCAGUGGGGAAUAUUGGGCAAUGGGCGCAAGCCUGACCCAGCAACGCCGCGUGAAGGAAGAAGGCUUUCGGGUUGGAAACUUCUUUUCUCAGGGACGAAGCAAGUGACGGUACCUGAGGAAUAAGCCACGGCUAACUACGUGCCAGCAGCCGCGGUAAUACGUAGGUGGCGAGCGUUAUCCGGAUUUACUGGGUGUAAAGGGCGUGUAGGCGGGAAAGCAAGUCAGAUGGGAAAACCAUGGGCUCAACCUGUGGCCUGCAUUUGAAACUGUUUAUCUUGAGUACUGGAGAGGUAGACGGAAUUGCUAGUGUAGCGGUGAAAUGCGUAGAUAUCAGGAGGAACUCCAGUGGCGAAGGCGGUCUGCUGGACAGCAACUGACGCUGAGGCGCGAAAGUGUGGGGAGCAAACAGGAGUAGAUACCCGGGUAGUC